Molecule: ribosomal RNA, 33 nt
Filed under: Colletotrichum sublineola
Lineage: Eukaryota; Fungi; Ascomycota; Sordariomycetes; Glomerellales; Glomerellaceae
Description: partial 28S ribosomal RNA
Source: RNAcentral
ACUGGUUGACCUCGGAUCAGGUAGGAAUACCCG